This 253-nucleotide ribosomal RNA is filed under the name uncultured bacterium. RNAcentral describes it as "partial 16S ribosomal RNA". It matches the Rfam family "Bacterial small subunit ribosomal RNA", at positions 524 to 776 of the family's 1533-position model. The record is from RNAcentral.
CACGUAGGGCGCGAGCGUUGUCCGGAAUUAUUGGGCGUAAAGAGCUCGUAGGCGGCCUGUUGCGUCCGCUGUGAAAGCCCGGGGCUUAACCCCGGGUCUGCAGUGGAUACGGGCAGGCUAGAGGUAGGUAGGGGAGAAUGGAAUUCCCGGUGUAGCGGUGAAAUGCGUAGAUAUCGGGAGGAAUACCUAUGGCGAAAGCAGGUUUCUGGGCCAUCACUGACGCUGAGCUGCGAAAGCUAGGGGAGCAAACAGG